GGGUCGGGACAGCAGUUGGUAGAGCAGUUGGCUUUUAACCAAUUGGUCGUAGGUUCGAAUCCCACACGACCCACCA
Molecule: transfer RNA, 76 nt
Filed under: Pseudomonas fragi
Lineage: Bacteria; Pseudomonadati; Pseudomonadota; Gammaproteobacteria; Pseudomonadales; Pseudomonadaceae
Description: tRNA-Lys
Rfam family: tRNA
About the family: Transfer RNA (tRNA) molecules are approximately 80 nucleotides in length. Their secondary structure includes four short double-helical elements and three loops (D, anti-codon, and T loops). Further hydrogen bonds mediate the characteristic L-shaped molecular structure. tRNAs have two regions of fundamental functional importance: the anti-codon, which is responsible for specific mRNA codon recognition, and the 3' end, to which the tRNAs corresponding amino acid is attached (by aminoacyl-tRNA synthetases). tRNAs cope with the degeneracy of the genetic code in two manners: having more than one tRNA (with a specific anti-codon) for a particular amino acid; and 'wobble' base-pairing, i.e. permitting non-standard base-pairing at the 3rd anti-codon position.
Source: RNAcentral